GGAAUCUUGCGCAAUGGGCGAAAGCCUGACGCAGCGACACCGCGUGGGGGAUGAAGGCCUUCGGGUUGUAAACCCCUUUCAGGAGGGCAGAAAUUGACGGUACCUCCAAAAGAAGGACCGGCCAACUACGUGCCAGCAGCCGCGGUAAUACGGAGGGAGCUAGCGUUGUUCGGAAUUACUGGGCGUAAAGCGCGCGUAGGCGGCUAUCCAAGUCAGGGGUGAAAUCCCGGGGCUCAACCCCGGAACUGCCCUUGAAACUAGGUAGCUAGAAUACUGGAGAGGUGAGUGGAAUUCCGAGUGUAGAGGUGAAAUUCGUAGAUAUUCGGAAGAACACCAGUGGCGAAGGCGACUCACUGGACAGUUAUUGACGCUGAGGUGCGAAAGCGUGGGGAGCAAACAGGAUUAGAUACCCCCGUAGUCC
This 421-nucleotide ribosomal RNA is filed under the name uncultured prokaryote. RNAcentral describes it as "bacterial SSU rRNA". It matches the Rfam family "Bacterial small subunit ribosomal RNA", at positions 358 to 796 of the family's 1533-position model. The record is from RNAcentral.